ACUUAAAUUGAAGAGUUUGAUCAUGGCUCAGAUUGAACGCUGGCGGCAGGCCUAACACAUGCAAGUCGAGCGGUAGCACAGAGAGCUUGCUCUCGGGUGACGAGCGGCGGACGGGUGAGUAAUGUCUGGGAAACUGCCUGAUGGAGGGGGAUAACUACUGGAAACGGUAGCUAAUACCGCAUAAUGUCGCAAGACCAAAGUGGGGGACCUUCGGGCCUCAUGCCAUCAGAUGUGCCCAGAUGGGAUUAGCUAGUAGGUGGGGUAACGGCUCACCUAGGCGACGAUCCCUAGCUGGUCUGAGAGGAUGACCAGCCACACUGGAACUGAGACACGGUCCAGACUCCUACGGGAGGCAGCAGUGGGGAAUAUUGCACAAUGGGCGCAAGCCUGAUGCAGCCAUGCCGCGUGUGUGAAGAAGGCCUUCGGGUUGUAAAGCACUUUCAGCGGGGAGGAAGGCGGUAAGGUUAAUAACCUUGGCGAUUGACGUUACCCGCAGAAGAAGCACCGGCUAACUCCGUGCCAGCAGCCGCGGUAAUACGGAGGGUGCAAGCGUUAAUCGGAAUUACUGGGCGUAAAGCGCACGCAGGCGGUCUGUCAAGUCGGAUGUGAAAUCCCCGGGCUCAACCUGGGAACUGCAUUCGAAACUGGCAGGCUAGAGUCUUGUAGAGGGGGGUAGAAUUCCAGGUGUAGCGGUGAAAUGCGUAGAGAUCUGGAGGAAUACCGGUGGCGAAGGCGGCCCCCUGGACAAAGACUGACGCUCAGGUGCGAAAGCGUGGGGAGCAAACAGGAUUAGAUACCCUGGUAGUCCACGCCGUAAACGAUGUCGAUUUGGAGGUUGUGCCCUUGAGGCGUGGCUUCCGGAGCUAACGCGUUAAAUCGACCGCCUGGGGAGUACGGCCGCAAGGUUAAAACUCAAAUGAAUUGACGGGGGCCCGCACAAGCGGUGGAGCAUGUGGUUUAAUUCGAUGCAACGCGAAGAACCUUACCUGGUCUUGACAUCCACAGAACUUUCCAGAGAUGGAUUGGUGCCUUCGGGAACUGUGAGACAGGUGCUGCAUGGCUGUCGUCAGCUCGUGUUGUGAAAUGUUGGGUUAAGUCCCGCAACGAGCGCAACCCUUAUCCUUUGUUGCCAGCGGUUAGGCCGGGAACUCAAAGGAGACUGCCAGUGAUAAACUGGAGGAAGGUGGGGAUGACGUCAAGUCAUCAUGGCCCUUACGACCAGGGCUACACACGUGCUACAAUGGCAUAUACAAAGAGAAGCGACCUCGCGAGAGCAAGCGGACCUCAUAAAGUAUGUCGUAGUCCGGAUUGGAGUCUGCAACUCGACUCCAUGAAGUCGGAAUCGCUAGUAAUCGUAGAUCAGAAUGCUACGGUGAAUACGUUCCCGGGCCUUGUACACACCGCCCGUCACACCAUGGGAGUGGGUUGCAAAAGAAGUAGGUAGCUUAACCUUCGGGAGGGCGCUUACCACUUUGUGAUUCAUGACUGGGGUGAAGUCGUAACAAGGUAACCGUAGGGGAACCUGCGGUUGGAUCACCUCCUUACCUUAAAGAA
RNAcentral lists this ribosomal RNA (1554 nucleotides) under Klebsiella pneumoniae. Its description in RNAcentral is "bacterial SSU rRNA". It matches the Rfam family "Bacterial small subunit ribosomal RNA". The record is from RNAcentral. Lineage: Bacteria; Pseudomonadati; Pseudomonadota; Gammaproteobacteria; Enterobacterales; Enterobacteriaceae.